AGUGAACGCUGGCGGUAGGCCUAACACAUGCAAGUCGAACGGCAGCACAGUAAGAGCUUGCUCUUACGGGUGGCGAGUGGCGGACGGGUGAGGAAUACAUCGGAAUCUACUUUUUCGUGGGGGAUAACGUAGGGAAACUUACGCUAAUACCGCAUACGACCUACGGGUGAAAGCAGGGGAUCUUCGGACCUUGCGCGAUUGAAUGAGCCGAUGUCGGAUUAGCUAGUUGGCGGGGUAAAGGCCCACCAAGGCGACGGUCCGUAGCUGGUCUGAGAGGAUGGUCAGCCACACUGGAACUGAGCCACGGUCCAGACUCCUACGGGAGGCAGCAGUGGGGAAUAUUGGCCAAUGGGCGAAAGCCUGAUCCAGCCAUACCGCGUGGGUGAAGAAGGCCUUCGGGUUGUAAAGCCCUUUUGUUGGGAAAGAAAAGCAGCAGGUUAAUACCCCGCUGUUCUGACGGUACCCACAGAAUAAGCACCGGCUAACUUCGUG
RNAcentral lists this ribosomal RNA (492 nucleotides) under uncultured bacterium. RNAcentral's name for it is "partial 16S ribosomal RNA". It matches the Rfam family "Bacterial small subunit ribosomal RNA", at positions 29 to 507 of the family's 1533-position model. The record is from RNAcentral.